AAAAUAGCAAAGCAAAAUUUCUAAUGGGGUUCGGGGGUAUGCUACCCCAUAAAAUGUUUAAACUAGAUGUCCUGCGAUUCAAUUUCUUGCAUUCUACAAGUAAAGUUCCAGCCAGUGCACCACUGGUAUAUCAAAGGCCGUGGUAUCACGCUGGUCAUACGGAUAAAGCCAUUGCGGUUGUAUAAAAUACACUGCGGUUAUGGCGCCAACUUGGGGAAACCCGACAGGACACAGAGCAGUACCUGAGCAAUGAAAACAAGAAGGAGCUGGAGGUCGUCAACGUCCGGCUGGAGAACAUAAAGUUGAAGAACAAACUCAAGAGAAGGAACAACAACUCAAGUCGAAGGAGGAACUUGCAAAAGGUUUACACUUGAUCGACUUUGAACAGCUCAAGAUAGAAGAUUCCCAGUCUGGAGCUCCACGCG
Molecule: long non-coding RNA, 425 nt
Organism: Gigantopelta aegis
Lineage: Eukaryota; Metazoa; Mollusca; Gastropoda; Neomphalida; Peltospiridae
Exons: 3
Source: RefSeq, a predicted model, not a curated record